RNAcentral lists this unclassified non-coding RNA (4041 nucleotides) under Hevea brasiliensis (rubber tree). Lineage: Eukaryota; Viridiplantae; Streptophyta; Magnoliopsida; Malpighiales; Euphorbiaceae. The record is from RNAcentral.
AAUGAUAACUACAACAAUUAUUAUCAUCACCUGAGAUGCAGCAACAUGUGAACUGUGAAGUCAUCAAGAUAUAUUGAGUCUCCAAUUUCAUGGCGUCUCUGCGGUGACUUUAGAGUCUUCCUAUGUCGUGAUUUUUCUCCUACCAUUUAUCGUAAUCCCUUUUCCAUAGAAGCAAACGAAACGCACCCACUUUUUCAAGGAAAUCCAGCAACUUUACUGGAAAAUUUUUCUCUUUUAUUGUUUUUCCCCGGAAAAUCUGUAAUGGGAAAUUGUGGAUUGUUUGAUCUAGAGAAGCAUUUUGCCUUCUAUGGUGCAUACCAUAGUAAUCCGAUCAACAUAGCGAUUCACAUGAUAUUUGUUUGGCCAAUCUUUUUCACUGCUCUUCUUAUUCUUUACUUUACCCCUUCUCUGUUUAACCUCAAGUUCUCUCUGUUUGGUAACGAUGUUUUUCUGCUUUUCAAUUUUGGUUUCUUGUUUACUUUGAUCUAUGCUUUGUUUUAUAUCUGUCUGGAUGCGAAAGCUGGUUCCUUGGCUGCUCUGCUUUGUGCUUUUUGUUGGGUGGCUAGUAGUUUUGUGGCUAGCUGGCUUGGGUUUUCUCUUGCUUGGAAGGUAAAUUUUGUGUUUUAAUUAGUUUUUUUUUCAUAAUCAAUUUAAUAUUGGUUCUCUUUUUUCUCCGUCCAAAUUGAUGCUAUAUGGAAGUUUUCCUCGAAAGUUGAUCAUCUGUGCUUGUUCAUCUGGAAAUUAAAUUUGCUUGUUCUGUGUUUGUGGUCUAAGGAAAAAACUGCAGAAGAAUCAUAAUUAGGUUUUGAAUAGUAUUUGUUUGAUGCUAUUGACAGAGUUUUUCCUCCAUGGAAAUUGAAAAUUGUAAAUCAGUCAAUUGCACGCCAAAUAGAGGCAUUGGGCUUGAAAAUGUUAGCAGUAACAAUGGUAUUGAUAUUUUUUUGUACCCUCAUAAUGAAAUUGUUCACUCCCUUUAUCGGGUGGAAUUUUCUUUAGUUUUGUUUCAGUUGGUUCCUUAAAUCAUCAUGGGUGUUGGUUACUUUUAUGUGUCAGGUUUACAUCAUAUUUGAAAUUAAGACUAGGUGGCUAUUGAAAUUUCAACAAAUAACUAUCUAUAUGCUUUGUGCUUUUUAAUUUCCCUCAUCAACGAAUUUAACAAUUGCUCCUUUAAAGUCAGGGUGGUUCUGUGUGUCACAAUGUUAUGGCAUUUUCAUCUUUCAUUAUUGGUUGUUCUUGCAUUUAUUUAUUUCCUUGCUGCAAAUUAGAUUAUGCUUAGUUUAUAGUUUUGUUUCUUUUUAAUUACGCUAGGGAGAUAAAUUGGAGAUAGUCUUGUCAAUAGAUUAGGUUAUGUUUUGUGUUUGUCAAGCAAAGUUUGUUCUUUGUUUGCUAAGCAGUUUACCUCUUUCUUAUAGUGCAGCUGUAAUAUCAAUUUUUUUAGCACAUAAUUAUAUCAUUUUUUAUUCAUUUUUUUAGCAAGUGCCAAAUUAGUUAUGGAGAAGUAUCUUUUUGCUUUUCGAUUUUAAUAGAGAUCCUGUGAAAUAAAGUUUUUGUUUACUUUAGAAGCAUAAACUAUAUGUAGUAGAACAGUUCAUGGUUAAAUUCUAUUUUCUUUCUUUAUUUCGUUCUCUUAAACUUAUGUUUAACAAAUAGCUAGCAAAAAUGUUACAAUUAACUGCAUGAUCAGGAAUUGGACAUGGAUGGUGGAAUCUUUGUUUUAGAGUUUCCUUCUUCCUCCUGACUUCAUGUUGUUAUUCUGUAUGUAAAUUUGUAUUUGGAAUAUAGUUGAUAUAUUUGUAUAUGGAAUAUAGUUGAUAUAGCUCACGUCCUCUGAAAGAUCUCAAUUCAUAGCUACUACCCCUUUGAUGGGAAAUGCAUCACAAAACUUUAAUUAGAGGGCUCAUUCACAAUAUGAAAAUAUAUCAUAUAUUGUGGAAUGCAUAUCAUACUCCAUAUCCAGAUUUCUUGUAAAGUCAACUGAUGCAUCAUUUGAAUUCAUUAUUUUUCUUUCCAUGCCACAAGGGAUGCUGAGAAGUUGAGAUUGAGAAAAGGAUAGAUUUGAUGCAGUUUAACGAGACUUGCAUAUUUUUAUCAGAUAAAUGAGAUGGAGAUCAUAAAAAUCUUGAAUCAACAAAAUAACUGGUUUUCUUGGAUUUUUUGAAGCCUUCAACAUUAGUAGUGUGAUAUUGACUAUGGGACCACUUGCUUCUAAAGAGAAUUUGUUCACUGUAAUUUGAUGUUUUGAUAGUUAUAUGUGUGUGUGUGUUUUUAUAUAUUACACUUAUUCACCUUUUGUUCACACAAAUGUUUUGCAGGUUGUUCUGGUGGCUCAAAUUGUUUGUUGGGCUGGACAGUUCAUUGGCCAUGGUGUCUUUGAGAUAAAUUUUCUUUCUGUGAUUUGUAAAUACAUUAAUGGCUUCCCAUCAUAUCUUUUCUGUAAUUUGUAAAUACAUCAAUGACUUCCCAUUGUAUAUUUUCAAUUAAUAUCCUGCAGAAAGGAGCACCAGCUUUUUUGGACAAUCUUUCUCUAGCCCUUAUAAUGGCUCCCUUCUUUGUGCUUCUGGAGACUCUUCAAGCAUUCCUUGAUUAUGAACCAUGUCCAGGGUUUCAUGAAAAUGUUCAAGCAAUGAUUAAAGCUGAAAUGAAUGAGUGGCAAGAGAAGAAGCAGAAGUUGCUCAAGUAAUUUAAACUGUGGUCUGUGUGCAAUUUACAUUAUUGAGCGGUAUAGUUCCUGUAACUGGAAGAAACCAAACCAGACUAUAUCACAUACUUUCUAUAUAUCAUCAUAGAAAAUCUACUUAAGAACCAUAUAAAUAUGAAUAUUCAUUGUUAUACAUUUUGUAGCUCAAGGAAACUCUCACUUCUUUGACCUUUAUUUCUUUGGAUACUUGCAUGAAAUUCAAUAAGAAAUGAACUAAAAGGUCAAAGCAUAGAUCUAAACUUUUCCUUGAACUUCAUUUACUUUGCAAUGUGGUCCCUAAGCCACAUUUCUGUGGAGUUAGAGAAUUGAACAAUAAAGGUUGUAAAAUUUUUGCCUUUCGAUUAUCUAAAUUACCCUUUAGUGGUAAGCUGGAGCUUGUGUGAAACUAUUUUGUAAAUUAUUAUUUUUUUUUUUUAAAUGCUAAUAUAGCAAGUGGGUUAAGUGGAUUUUAGUUGGAUCUACUAAAAUUAUGAACUAAUUGUCAAAACUCAUAUUUAUUACAUAACACUACAAUAAAUUGUUAGUAGUUGUAAAGAAAAAUCAAUUAUCAAUGCCUUAAAAAAAAAGUGGAAUGCCAAAUGAGCAUCCGUUAUGAGUUAACUACCAAUCUACAAGCCUAAACCACUGCAAAACCAGGUGCUGAAAAGAAUGAUGGUAAUGGUUUUGUAACGGGGAUUAGUUUAAGUCGCUAUAUGGUAUAAAUUAUUGUAAUUUUUGUUAUGAAGGCACUUUUGCAUAAAAUUGUCGUAUAAGGAUCCUAUUGUAGAAGCCAAUAUAUUCAGGAAAGAAGAUCUAGACUGGUUCCAAAAUUCAUGAUCCUGGCUUUUGCAGCUGCUAUUAGUAGCAAUUGUAGUUCUAAUGAGAUUUUAGGAUUCUGGAAGUCAGGCAUGAUAAAAGUUGUAGAAGUGAUAUUAGUAACAAGAAUGUUUUUAAUCUUGGAACAAUUUAUUAGUCACUGCUUGAGCUAAUUGUUUCCGAUAUGGAUUGAAACAGCAUGCUCCUGAUAUGAACAUGGAUUAACAAGAAAAUCAUGGCCUCUAGUUGUUGUAUCUUAUCCUUAUGAAAGCCUGGACGCUCUAAGCUUCAAGCCAUGUGCCAUUGAUAGAAUUGUCAUCAUCCUGUAUUGCACUGGAUGAUUAGGGACCAAGUCAAAUUUGAAAAAUCUACAGAGUAUGGCCAGUGUCAUCUUCAUCUGGAGAUAUGCAGAGUCCUUACCAAGGCAUAUUCUUGGUCCAGCCUAAACAUUAAAAUAAGGACUAUAAGCACUCACUUUUCUCUUCGUAGUAUCUUUUUUUUGAAAGGGUUAAAUCUCUUAUAGCUUACCUGAAAUGCAGUGAACUUGA